GAUGAACGCUGGCGGCGUGCUUAACACAUGCAAGUCGAACGGAAAGGCUCCUGCUUGCCGGGGUCCUCGAGUGGCGAACGGGUGAGUAACACGUGGGUGAUCUGCCCUGCACUUCGGGAUAAGCCUGGGAAACUGGGUCUAAUACCGGAUAGGACCACAUUUUGGAUGGUGUGGUGGAAAGUUUUUCGGUGUGGGAUGAGCUCGCGGCCUAUCAGCUUGUUGGUGGGGUAAUGGCCUACCAAGGCGUCGACGGGUAGCCGGCCUGAGAGGGUGUACGGCCACAUUGGGACUGAGAUACGGCCCAGACUCCUACGGGAGGCAGCAGUGGGGAAUAUUGCACAAUGGGCGCAAGCCUGAUACAGCGACGCCGCGUGGGGGAUGACGGCCUUCGGGUUGUAAACUCCUUUCGCUAGGGACGAAGCGCAAGUGACGGUACCUGGAGAAGAAGCACCGGCUAACUACGUG
RNAcentral lists this ribosomal RNA (465 nucleotides) under uncultured bacterium. Its description in RNAcentral is "partial 16S ribosomal RNA". It matches the Rfam family "Bacterial small subunit ribosomal RNA", at positions 28 to 507 of the family's 1533-position model. The record is from RNAcentral.